This is a long non-coding RNA of Lolium perenne, 1375 nucleotides long. RefSeq lists it as uncharacterized. The record is from RefSeq and is a predicted model, not a curated record. Lineage: Eukaryota; Viridiplantae; Streptophyta; Magnoliopsida; Poales; Poaceae.
UUCCCUACCGACGAGGCAGACCCACGACUCCGCGCUGCCGCCAUCGUCCGUGCGCCUGCCGCCACCCUGUGCCGGCGACGGGCGACCUACCCCCGCUGGGGUCACCUCUUAUUUCCCCGCAAUGUCUCACCUUCUCUCUGAGAUCCAGCCCAUGGGAUGGAUGAGAACGAGAUCCCCUUCACAGACCUCCUCCUCCUGCUCUUGCCUGAAGUAGCAACAACAUUGGGCGACGACGAUGGUCGUUAACUCCUCAUUUCCAUGGUCCAGUCCACGCUCGGCCGCGAGGGCACCGGGCUGCUGGCCGUCGCCGGCACACCGCACGCGAUCUCCCUCCACCACCCGCUCCUCCCCCUGGUCCGCAACCUCGCCUCCAUGGACCACCCAUCAGGCGCCUACCUCCUAAAGAAGCACGGUGUGGGAAGUGACCUGCCUCUGAUGAAACCUGCAGGAGCUUUGGACAGCCACUGAUUGGUUUUUUUGUUGCACCACAUUUUAUUGGCUGUAGGCUGAAGAUUUCGAACUUCUCGAGGCUCAUCAUAUAGCCUAAACCUACAAGACAUUGGUGUUGAAAGGUUGAAACAAAGGACCGGAGUUUCGCACCAAUGCUCCAACGCAGAAGUCAGCAAUAUGAGAGAAUGAAUAAUAGAAUCUCAUGCUCAUGGGACAAAGAUUAGGGAAGGAGUUCACACGACAGUCCACAAUUAAAGUAAGUACUUUUGAUACUUAUAUAAUUAUUUCUAAUGCUCCACAUUUACAGGGUCCAAGCCUGGAAGUGCAAGUAGUUACUAUAAGUUAGGAAUGUAUGAACCAGGUCGAGUCAUUCUUGAUAGUACUUAUGACCUCCUUCAUGCCUGGCUCAUGUUCUCUGAGAAGGAGAAUCAUGGAUGGAGCUUGGAGGAUCUGCUGAAGGAGAAUCAUGGAUGUAGCCUGGAGGAUCUACUAACCGAGAUGUACCGCGUCAUGAGGCCUCAUGGUUAUGCCAUUAUUACUUUAUAAGAGGCAAAGCCGCUAUCAUAGAGUACUAAGAAGCUUUUACAUGCGAUGUGAUGAUGAUGAAAGAGUCUUAAUCGGGAGAAAAAAAAUCUAUGGGAUUAGGCUAUGAUAUUACCGUCAUAAGAUUUUGAUCGUUCCUUCUUUCCAUUGUAAUCUAGCUUUUGUUGGGUGCUUUUGUUUGAGCUUUUUUUUUAUUUAGAACUUCAAUUUUGACACAUUGGAUCUAUUUCAGUUUCAUUUUAGUAUAGAUUAAUACUUGCAAAACUACAAUUAGACUCGGAUGAGCAUAAUCCUAAGUUCACAAUGGGUAUGCCAUUAUUACUUUUAUGUUUAUUUUUGUACCUUAUAAACAAAGUGGAAUAUUAAUAUUUUUUGAAUACCA